This 24-nucleotide non-coding RNA is filed under the name Cricetulus griseus (Chinese hamster). The record is from RNAcentral. Lineage: Eukaryota; Metazoa; Chordata; Mammalia; Rodentia; Cricetidae.
UAUAUUUCACUGUAGAAUUGAAUU